UUCAGCACUCCAGGUAUCUCCUGUAAAGUUCGGAAGAAAACCCAGAAAGGAGAUUCACUGUCCCAAUGAAAUUGGCACCCCAGCCUCUACCAAGCAUCAGAAUGUCUUUGGCCGGUGCUAAGGUCCUCUCAUGGAGUCACGAACAGCCGGACACGACUAAACAACUAAACAACAACAAAGGUGCUCCGGCCACCACAGAACCGUGGGAUGAUUUUUGUGUGUGUGUGUUAUACUCCCCAGAACUGAAACUGGAUUUAAGUACUGUACAGUACAUAGUCCUGCUAUUUGCUGUAUUUGUUAUGGGUUUUUCUGAACCUACCCUGUGAGACUGAAUUGGAGGAUCAAAAUGCAGAGCCGAAGUUCUGUAGACUCACCCAAGAUCUGGUGCCAGACAAAACCACUACGGUCCAGGAGGUGGCGUUGUUGCAAAAAACGUGCAAAGAAGACGAGACACGGGAGAAAUAAAUACGAUUCCAUUUUUUCCCUACAGAUGGGCAGUGCUCUUACUAGGGUAAAUUAUGUACAGUACUCACAAAACAUACAAGCUUUUGAGUUGCCCAAAACUUUUCACCGGGCUAAACAGUAAAACAAAAACAAAACAAAAAAAAUGGGGAGGAGGGAAAGCAUAGAAAAUUGAUCACAUUAUUUAAGUCAUAGAUAUUUGCAGUUAAACAUCAUCCCAAACUGCACAGGAGAUGCUUCAUAAAUUAAACAAUCUGUAAUCG
Molecule: non-coding RNA, 725 nt
Organism: Pogona vitticeps (central bearded dragon)
Lineage: Eukaryota; Metazoa; Chordata; Lepidosauria; Squamata; Agamidae
Source: RefSeq, a predicted model, not a curated record